UGCACUCACUACUGUAAGUCGCUCUGGAUGGUAGCGUCUGCUAAAUGACUAAAA
Non-coding RNA from Salmo salar (Atlantic salmon), 54 nucleotides. Lineage: Eukaryota; Metazoa; Chordata; Actinopteri; Salmoniformes; Salmonidae. The record is from Rfam.